CCGCUCAAUAUUUUUGGAGACCUUGACUCCAAGUUUGAUUGACACAGCUUUCUCCAUUUCAUUCUCUCUUCCUCUCUCUUUCGCUAUAUCUCUCUCCGUUAUCUCUCUCUGUCUAUCUAAAUAGGAUAGGAUUUCAGUAGAUGUUAGCUAGAUUUUCGGAUCGAUCUGAUGGAGAGCUUCAACACUCGAUUGAGGAUUCAAUCGAAAUUAGGGUUUUUGAGUUUGAAUUAGGGAUUUUUUAUUUCUUAGUAGGUGUCUCACUUAGAGUAGUUUUAUGUCUCUAUUUCAGGGUUAAUUUGGGUGCUUCUUGGUCUCUCCCCCCUUUCUCAUUUGUUAACUUAAGAACAUGUGUGGAUGUGUUAUAUGUGUACUUGUCUGUGUAUUUUCAGGAGCCUGUGUUAAAUCAAAGUCAUAAAAGGCUUGGAUCUCUGUUCUGAGGUAACGAGCUUGUGUUAUAGAAUUUGAGCUAUUUAAUUUAUAAUUUCCAUAUUCAGUUUUGUAAUGCUAUGUGUUUUUUAGAUUUAAAUGGUUUACUGUUGAACUUCUCAUUGUUGAUAAUUACUGUUAAAAGUAUAUUGUAUAUUAUAUAAUGGAUUCAAGUAGUAGCUAUCCUGACUCCGGCCGGGAAAUUAAGUAGUAGCUAUCCUGAUUCAAGCACUUGCCCUUUUAUAAAGAAUUUUAUUUUCACACUUUUACAUGCCAGGAUGCUGUGAUUUUAUGUUUCUUGUUAGAAUCUUGGAGAUUUUAAUACGAUUUGGCCUUUCUUCUUUGGUUACUGGAUGUUUUUUAAAACAUGUGGAAACAAGACCAAGUCUCCUGGUCUUGAUGCUCAGUCUGCACUUUGUGCACUUUCUCGUUCAAGAAUGAAAAUAGGUCGCACAAGUAAUUUCUUCUUUGAUCCUAAAAAUGGUCACAGUAGACAAGAAUUUGGUGCUAGAGAAUUUUAUAAAUAUUUAUUGUUGUAUAUGCCAUUAGGUGAUGCUAUGAAAUGGUUGUAGCUCUGUUACCUGUUAGUUUUAGUUCACAUUUCUAAUUUGGUUAUUGUUACAUUCUGUAUCUUUUCCGCAAACCAGUAGACUUUGUUUAUUAAUUUUUUUGGUUCUCAUAGGCAAGAGCUUAAAAUCUUUGCUACUAAAAGGUAUAAGGCUAACUUCUACUGCUAUUUUCUUUAAGAUUAAUUAUAAUUCAAAGAUACAUUCUUUUUGAACAUAUAAAACAUAUAGAACAAUUAAUAAUUAAUACUAUUUUCUUGUCAUGUUGUUGGUAUAAUUCUGAUGGAUGAUUUUGAAAUGAAUGUGAGCAUUCUACACUAAAGAAUAUCUAGUUUGCAUUGUGUUAGCUUUCUUUACUACAUCAGUUUGCUGCAAGUCUAGUUUGCUGCAGUUUAGUUAUGCUAGUAUCCGUCAAUGUGCCGGAGAAAGUCCAGCUUCAUGUGGCCAUGUUGGCCUUGCAGUUUAGUUAUGCUGGUAUCCAUGUCCUCUUCUUACACUCUCGUUUGUUACCCAGUUCUUUCUCCUGGCUGUCGUCGGGUAAUAAGACUACAUAACCCUCCACACACAUGUAAAUAUACAAGUAAUUAUCUUUCUGAUAAUUGAAUGAAUUGAUGAGCAUUAGUUACUAACUGAAUUAUGUGACAGAAUAACCGCAAAUGAACAGAUUUGAUAUGGUUCAGGAACUUGUUUACCAACGAUGGCUUGAUUUGAGAAUCAGGAAUCUCUGACUCGGGUAAAACAGAAUCGUAACAAGUUAAGCUUUGAAUCUUACGAAGCAUAAGCAUUUUUUCAGUUGAAAGUGAUGAAAUGACUGAUACAACUGGUACAAGUUACUCCAGCAGCCAGACAAGUACUUGGAAAAUGUAUAAUAUAGCUCAGAAAUUAAAGAACUGGGGCCGUAUAAAAAAACUAUCCAGCAAGAUAUACAAAUUUUGUUUGAUGUUGUGGUCCAUCCUGUUAAUGAAGAUUAUGUGCAAAUGGCUCAAGAAUUUCACCAGGCUUGAGUUUCUUGCUAGAGGAACAGAUGACUCCUAUUGUCACAGCCUUGGAAUCACAUAUCAUGCACUUCAUUUAUGUAUGGAGAAGGGUGUAUUUUAGAGAAAAGCUAGAGGGCACAGGCUAAUUGUUGUUACGUUUAGUUGGUUUUGAAUUGUUAGGUAAUUUGAUUUGGUUGGAUUUGUUAUGAAAUUUGUAAGAAAGAAUAGUUUAUUGGGAUGUUUAAUUUAUAAAGAGUAUAUUUUCAAUUC
Daucus carota subsp. sativus is the source of this 2239-nucleotide long non-coding RNA. RefSeq lists it as uncharacterized. The transcript is spliced from 2 exons. NCBI's taxonomy places the organism in Eukaryota, Viridiplantae, Streptophyta, Magnoliopsida, Apiales, Apiaceae. The record is from RefSeq and is a predicted model, not a curated record.